GAUGAACGCUGGCGGCGUGCCUAAUACAUGCAAGUCGAGCGAACGGACGAGAAGCUUGCUUCUCUGAUGUUAGCGGCGGACGGGUGAGUAACACGUGGAUAACCUACCUAUAAGACUGGGAUAACUUCGGGAAACCGGAGCUAAUGCCGGAUAAUAUUUUGAACCGCAUGGUUCAAAAGUGAAAGACGGUCUUGCUGUCACUUAUAGAUGGAUCCGCGCUGCAUUAGCUAGUUGGUAAGGUAACGGCUUACCAAGGCAACGAUGCAUAGCCGACCUGAGAGGGUGAUAGGCCACACUGGAACUGAGACACGGUCCAGACUCCUACGGGAGGCAGCAGUAGGGAAUCUUCCGCAAUGGGCGAAAGCCUGACGGAGCAACGCCGCGUGAGUGAUGAAGGUAUUCGGAUCGUAAAACUCUGUUAUUAGGGAAGAACAUAUGUGUAAGUAACUGUGCACAUCUUGACGGUACCUAAUCAGAAAGCCACGGCUAACUACGUG
This 497-nucleotide ribosomal RNA is filed under the name uncultured bacterium. Its description in RNAcentral is "partial 16S ribosomal RNA". It matches the Rfam family "Bacterial small subunit ribosomal RNA", at positions 28 to 507 of the family's 1533-position model. The record is from RNAcentral.